This 207-nucleotide ribosomal RNA is filed under the name uncultured bacterium. RNAcentral's name for it is "partial 16S ribosomal RNA". It matches the Rfam family "Bacterial small subunit ribosomal RNA", at positions 568 to 774 of the family's 1533-position model. The record is from RNAcentral.
CGCGUAGGCGGUCCCUUAAGUCAGAUGUGAAAGCCCGGGGCUCAACCUCGGAAGUGCAUUUGAAACUAAAGGACUUGAGUAUGGGAGAGGGAAGUGGAAUUCCUGGUGUAGAGGUGAAAUUCGUAGAUAUCAGGAGGAACACCGGUGGCGAAGACGACUUCCUGGACCAAUACUGACGCUGAGGCGCGAAGGCGUGAGGAGCAAACA